CAGUAGCCACGGUAAUACAGAGGGUGCAAGCGUUAAUCGGAUUUACUUGGCAUAAAGGGCGCGUAGGUGGUUAUUUAAGUGAGAUGUGAAAGCCCCGGGCUUAACCUGGGAACUGCAUCUUAUACUGGGUAACUGGAGUGCAGUAGAGGGUAGUGGAAUUUCCGGUGUAGCGGUGAAAUGCGUAGAUAUCGGAAGGAACACCAGUGGCGAAGGCGGCUACCUGGACUGAGACUGACACUGAGGCGCGAGAGCGUGGGGAGCAAACAGGAUUAGAUACCCCCGUAGUCCCUGUCUCUUAUAC
RNAcentral lists this ribosomal RNA (301 nucleotides) under uncultured bacterium. RNAcentral describes it as "partial 16S ribosomal RNA". It matches the Rfam family "Bacterial small subunit ribosomal RNA", at positions 509 to 807 of the family's 1533-position model. The record is from RNAcentral.